Molecule: long non-coding RNA, 357 nt
Organism: Alosa sapidissima (American shad)
Lineage: Eukaryota; Metazoa; Chordata; Actinopteri; Clupeiformes; Clupeidae
Exons: 3
Source: RefSeq, a predicted model, not a curated record
GCUUGGAGCUGAACACAGGUGUUGUUGAGCUGGAGAAUUCCCAGGAAUCCUCUCCAGGCUACUCGACCCAACAGGGAAACUGGCCAUGGGUUGGUUCCCCUUUGCAGUCCAAUGAGCCGGAUAAAAACUGAAGGGACUCUUGGCUGUGGGAUGUGCUUCCUUCUGCUCCCCAGCAUUAAACAAGCUGUUCCUGAGGCAAACGUCCCCCAUGCUGCAUCCAUCAUUUCCCCCUGCCAUAAGUCACCUUGAGGUCACUGUGUUAUUACACUGUACAAUUUACAUUUGACAUUUAAAGGCAACUCUUCAUGAUCUUUUCAGCUAUGAUGUAUGUAUUUUAUAUUUUACAUCUGUGGCUAU